AGUAACGCGUGGGUAACCUGCCUCACACAGGGGGAUAACAGUUAGAAAUGACUGCUAAUACCGCAUAAGCGCACAGUGCUGCAUGGCACAGUGUGAAAAACUCCGGUGGUAUGAGAUGGACCCGCGUCUGAUUAGCUAGUUGGUGGGGUAACGGCCUACCAAGGCGACGAUCAGUAGCCGGCCUGAGAGGGUGAACGGCCACAUUGGGACUGAGACACGGCCCAA
Molecule: ribosomal RNA, 225 nt
Filed under: uncultured bacterium
Lineage: Bacteria
Description: partial 16S ribosomal RNA
Rfam family: Bacterial small subunit ribosomal RNA
Source: RNAcentral